GCCGCUGUGGCGAAAUUGGCAGACGCAGUGGACUCAAAAUCCACCGAUAGUAAUAUCGUGCCAGUCCGAAUCUGGCCAGCGGCA
This 84-nucleotide transfer RNA is filed under the name Clostridiales bacterium. RNAcentral describes it as "tRNA-Leu". It matches the Rfam family "tRNA". Rfam says of the family: Transfer RNA (tRNA) molecules are approximately 80 nucleotides in length. Their secondary structure includes four short double-helical elements and three loops (D, anti-codon, and T loops). The record is from RNAcentral. Lineage: Bacteria; Bacillati; Bacillota; Clostridia; Eubacteriales.